This 465-nucleotide ribosomal RNA is filed under the name uncultured bacterium. Its description in RNAcentral is "partial 16S ribosomal RNA". It matches the Rfam family "Bacterial small subunit ribosomal RNA", at positions 29 to 507 of the family's 1533-position model. The record is from RNAcentral.
AUGAACGCUGGCGGCGUGCUUAACACAUGCAAGUCGCACGAUGAAGCCCAGCUUGCUGGGCGGAUUAGUGGCGAACGGGUGAGUAACACGUGAGUAACCUGCCCUUGACUCUGGGAUAAGCCCGGGAAACUGGGUCUAAUACCGGAUAGGAGCGCCUGUCGCAUGACGGGUGCUGGAAAGAUCUUUCGGUCAUGGAUGGACUCGCGGCCUAUCAGCUUGUUGGUGAGGUAACGGCUCACCAAGGCGACGACGGGUAGCCGGCCUGAGAGGGUGACCGGCCACACUGGGACUGAGACACGGCCCAGACCCCUACGGGAGGCAGCAGUGGGGAAUAUUGCACAAUGGGCGAAAGCCUGAUGCAGCGACGCCGCGUGAGGGAUGACGGCCUUCGGGUUGUAAACCUCUUUCAGCAGGGAAGAAGCGAAAGUGACGGUACCUGCAGAAGAAGCACCGGCUAACUACGUG